AUUUUUUCUAGCUACUUGAAGAGUCUUCAGGGGAAAAAAAAUAUUCCUUGUUUUGUUCUUAAAUCUGGUACUUUUCAUUAAAAACAGUCCUAAUACCAGGACACAUUACAAAUAUAGUAUCAUGUGAACAUUUAUGUUCUCUGCUUUGUUCUCUCUUAGAUCCAAGGUUUUUAUGUGUGUAACCUGUAUAUUCUCACCACAAGAGUAGUUGUUGCCAAUAGUUUGUAUGAUUGACCAUGCGUGUACUUUUCUUACCUUAUGUUGCAACCAACAAUAUGUCUGUGUUGUAAAAAACUGGCUGUUUUUUGGGAUGGAUCUCCUACCCUUUCACCUGACAGUCAGGUUCCCUUUAACCAGCCCUAAAACAUAAUUCCAACUAGACCAAGGCAGAGCAAUAACCCAAAGCUUUCUUCCUUUUUCUUUCUCCUCCAGGUUCUCCCUGAUGAUUGGCUGGCUCACUGCAGACAGCCUGAGAAGUUAAGAAAUGUACUUUUGAUCUUUUUGUAACAUCAGUGAAAUGGAAUUAGCGGGAAUAGUUUUAACUUCACAAUUUGCUGGAAGACAAAGGAAACAACAACCACCAAUUGGAAGGAGCCCUGCUGCUCUUCAGGACAUGCGGGAAUUAGCAGACAGAAGUGGAAGAAACUUUUUUGUUUUCCUCUGACAGGACAACUAGACUGAAGCAGGGAAAGUAUGGAAGAGGAAAUCUGAAUAUUACGCAUCUUGACAAUGGACUCUUACAUAGUGAAACAGCAUUUAGCAUUAUUAAAAUACAACAAGCAGCUGUGUUUCCUUGAUGCAGAAGUGGAAACAAACAGCCAGAAAAUUCAGCACAGAAAUGAAGCUUUAAAAACAGAGGAAAGCCAGUCCAGCGCUUCUUUCUUUUGUACUGUGAUGUUGUGGUUGCUCUGUUUUCCAUGAAUAAAAUGUGAAUAAGAACUUUUUCCUAGUGUACACUAUGUUGAUCUUUAUAUGUUGUAAGAUCGUGAAGAAAGAUCUAAGAUGCUAUGGUAACUCUGGUUUUAAGAGCCUAAGAAAUCACUGAAAACACUUUUAGAUUUGAAUGAAACAAACCCUUCCUUAAUCUUUAGCUAAAAGUAUGUUGUUUUGUUUGUUUGUUUGUUUUUUGUUGUUUGUUUGUUUGUUUUUUCCAUGAAUAGGAUCUAUAUUACCAAAUAUUGCCAUACUAUACAUGGUCCACAGAUCUCUGUAUACCAAGCCAUAAAGUGUUUUAAACAAAACAAUAGAGCCUGUGCACAAAAACAGAAAUGUGGUUGUCAUCAGGUGCUUACAAUACAUAUAAAAUUAUCUCUUUAGAAUAAAAUUUACCCAUCUGCAGAAGAAUGUGAUGAC
This 1353-nucleotide long non-coding RNA is filed under the name Anas platyrhynchos platyrhynchos (common mallard). RNAcentral describes it as "lncRNA (ENSAPLG00000022928.1)". Lineage: Eukaryota; Metazoa; Chordata; Aves; Anseriformes; Anatidae. The record is from RNAcentral.